UUGCCCAGUAACGGCGAGUGAAGCGGCAAGAGCUCAAAUUUGAAAGCUGGCUCCUUCGGGGUCCGCAUUGUAAUUUGCAGAGGAUGCUUCGGGAGCGGUCCCCAUCUAAGUGCCCUGGAACGGGACGUCAUAGAGGGUGAGAAUCCCGUAUGGGAUGGGGUGUCCGCGCCCGUGUGAAGCUCCUUCGACGAGUCGAGUUGUUUGGGAAUGCAGCUCUAAAUGGGUGGUAAAUUUCAUCUAAAGCUAAAUAUUGGCCGGAGACCGAUAGCGCACAAGUAGAGUGAUCGAAAGAUGAAAAGCACUUUGAAAAGAGAGUUAAAAAGCACGUGAAAUUGUUGAAAGGGAAGCGCUUGCGACCAGACUCGCUCGCGGGGUUCAGCCGGCAUUCGUGCCGGUGUACUUCCCCGCGGGCGGGCCAGCGUCGGUUUGGGCGGUCGGUCAAAGGCCNUCGGAAGGUAACGCCCCUAGGGGCGUCUUAUAGCCGAGGGUGCAAUGCGACCUGCCUAGACCGAGGAACGCGCUUCGGCUCGGACGCUGGCAUAAUGGUCGUAAGCGACCCGUCUUGAAACACGGACCAAGGAGUCUAACAUCUACGCGAGUGUUCGGGUGUCAAACCCGUGCGCGAAGUGAAAGCGAACGGAGGUGGGAACCCUUACGGGUGCACCAUCGACCGAUCCUGAAGUCUUCGGAUGGAUUUGAGUAAGAGCGUAGCUGUUGGGACCCGAAAGAUGGUGAACUAUGCCUGAAUAGGGCGAAGCCAGAGGAAACUCUGGUGGAGGCUCGUAGCGGUUCUGACGUGCAAAUCGAUCGUCGAA
RNAcentral lists this ribosomal RNA (815 nucleotides) under Penicillium aurantiocandidum. Its description in RNAcentral is "LSU rRNA". It matches the Rfam family "Eukaryotic large subunit ribosomal RNA", at positions 75 to 909 of the family's 3401-position model. The record is from RNAcentral. Lineage: Eukaryota; Fungi; Ascomycota; Eurotiomycetes; Eurotiales; Aspergillaceae.